This 647-nucleotide ribosomal RNA is filed under the name Tricholoma matsutake. Its description in RNAcentral is "partial small subunit ribosomal RNA". It matches the Rfam family "Bacterial small subunit ribosomal RNA", at positions 413 to 920 of the family's 1533-position model. Lineage: Eukaryota; Fungi; Basidiomycota; Agaricomycetes; Agaricales; Tricholomataceae. The record is from RNAcentral.
UACUGAAUCAUUAUGAGUCAUUAAUUUGGUGAUUUUGAUAACCUAAGGGAAAAAAAAUGAUAUUACCUUAUUAUUAGUGUUGUCCAAAACUGGUCGCCAGAAGACUCGGUAAGACCAGAGACGCAAACGUUAGUACAUCUUAAUCAGGCGUAAAGGGUGUGUAGGCUGCUUUAAAAGUUUAAAUCUUUUUAAUAGCUCUUUUGCCGUUGUCCUGCCAUUAUUUAUUUUAUUUAUAAAAUAAUAAACAAUAAUGAAUAUAAAGGCAGUACAUUUUUAAUUUUAUUAAUAUUAAUUUAAUUUAAUAAUUAUAAAGGGGACAAAAAAGAUAUCCCGGUUUAAGUAAAAAGAAUAAAAUGAAUUAAAGCUAGAAUCAAAUUGAGGAUAAACCAAAUAAUACUUAGAGUAGGGCCGAUAUCCGCAGAUACUAAGGGGAAUACUAAAGGUGAAAGCUUUUUAUCUACUAUUGAUUGACGCUGAGAAACGAAGGUGAGAACAGGAAAUAGGAUUUGAUACCCAGAUACCUCUCACUGUCAACGAUGAAUGGUGGUUGUUAGUUUUAAUAAAAACUGGUAACGAUGUUAACACGAUAACCAUUCCGCCUUGCGAGUACGGUUGCAAAACUGAAACCAAAAAAAUUAGUCGGUUCG